Molecule: ribosomal RNA, 199 nt
Filed under: uncultured bacterium
Lineage: Bacteria
Description: partial 16S ribosomal RNA
Rfam family: Bacterial small subunit ribosomal RNA
Source: RNAcentral
ACGCUCGACACCUACGGAAGGCAGCAGUGGGGAAUAUUGCACAAUGGGGGAAACCCUGAUGCAGCGACGCCGCGUGAGCGAAGAAGUAUUUCGGUAUGUAAAGCCCUAUCAGCAGGGAAGAAACUGACGGUACCUGACUAAGAAGCACCGGCUAAAUACGUACCACGCAGCCGCGGUAAUCUGAGCGGGCUGGCAAGGC